GAUGAACGCUGGCGGCGUGCCUAAUACAUGCAAGUCGAGCGAACGGACGAGAAGCUUGCUUUUCUGAUGUUAGCGGCGGACGGGUGAGUAACACGUGGAUAACCUACCUAUAAGACUGGGAUAACUUCGGGAAACCGGAGCUAAUACCGGAUAAUAUUUUGAACCGCAUGGUUCAAAAGUGAAAGACGGUCUUGCUGUCACUUAUAGAUGGAUCCGCGCUGCAUUAGCUAGUUGGUAAGGUAACGGCUUACCAAGGCAACGAUGCAUAGCCGACCUGAGAGGGUGAUCGGCCACACUGGAACUGAGACACGGUCCAGACUCCUACGGGAGGCAGCAGUAGGGAAUCUUCCGCAAAGGGCGAAAGCCUGACGGAGCAACGCCGCGUGAGUGAUGAAGGUCUUCGGAUCGUAAAACUCUGUUAUUAGGGAAGAACAUAUGUGUAAGUAACUGUGCACAUCUUGACGGUACCUAAUCGGAAAGCCACGGCUAACUACGUG
This 497-nucleotide ribosomal RNA is filed under the name uncultured bacterium. RNAcentral describes it as "partial 16S ribosomal RNA". It matches the Rfam family "Bacterial small subunit ribosomal RNA", at positions 28 to 507 of the family's 1533-position model. The record is from RNAcentral.